UGUCUCCUCUAUCCUCCUCCAAGAGAUAGAAUUAGCCCGCUCCCGUAGCGGGCAUUUUUUU
RNAcentral lists this non-coding RNA (61 nucleotides) under Massilia sp. Root351. Its description in RNAcentral is "Betaproteobacteria toxic small RNA". It matches the Rfam family "Betaproteobacteria toxic small RNA". From Rfam's summary of the family: Overexpression in amino aid rich medium attenuates growth, suggesting role in repressing amino acid intake and metabolism. The record is from Rfam by way of RNAcentral. Lineage: Bacteria; Pseudomonadati; Pseudomonadota; Betaproteobacteria; Burkholderiales; Oxalobacteraceae.